This 214-nucleotide long non-coding RNA is filed under the name Elaeis guineensis (African oil palm). RNAcentral's name for it is "long non-coding RNA (EGUI_LNC067554)". The record is from RNAcentral. Lineage: Eukaryota; Viridiplantae; Streptophyta; Magnoliopsida; Arecales; Arecaceae.
AAUGAUUACAGAUUCCACGAGGACCAAGAACAGAUUUCCCACAACCACAAAAGAAUUCAUAGAACCAUAUAACCAUCGUACACAAGCAAAAAUCUCUGAGGAAGAGAGAGUGUGUGUGUGUGAGAGAGAGAAGGGUAUGGUAUCUAUUGGAGCGGGUUGAAGGAACUUAGAAUCAACUUUCUCCCAUCCAUGCAUAGCCACCAAGUCAAGGAGG